RNAcentral lists this ribosomal RNA (330 nucleotides) under uncultured Alistipes sp. RNAcentral's name for it is "bacterial SSU rRNA". It matches the Rfam family "Bacterial small subunit ribosomal RNA", at positions 16 to 339 of the family's 1533-position model. The record is from RNAcentral. Lineage: Bacteria; Pseudomonadati; Bacteroidota; Bacteroidia; Bacteroidales; Rikenellaceae.
AUCCUGGCUCAGGAUGAACGCUAGCGGCAGGCUUAACACAUGCAAGUCGAGGGGCAGCGAGUAAAUUGCUUGCAAUUUACGUCGGCGACCGGCGGACGGGUGCGUAACGCGUAUGCAACCUACCCAUUACAGGGGGAUAACAUUGAGAAAUCGGUACUAAUACCCCAUAACAUCCAGGGAGGCAUCUUCUUGGGUUGAAAACUACGGUGGUAAUGGAUGGGCAUGCGUUGUAUUAGUUAGUUGGUGGGGUAACGGCUCACCAAGACAACGAUACAUAGGGGGACUGAGAGGUUAACCCCCCACAUUGGUACUGAGCCAGGAUCAAACUCU